Molecule: long non-coding RNA, 113 nt
Organism: Melanotaenia boesemani (Boeseman's rainbowfish)
Lineage: Eukaryota; Metazoa; Chordata; Actinopteri; Atheriniformes; Melanotaeniidae
Exons: 3
Source: RefSeq, a predicted model, not a curated record
AUACUUCGAAGACCUUCUCAAUCCCACCAACACGUCUUCUGAUGAGGAAGCAGAGUCUGGGGUGGCUGGUGUUGGGUCUCCCAUCUCUAGGGCUGAGGUUGCUGAGGUGGUUA